UUCAUGUUGUGGAAAUUCGUAUAUUCAAAACGAGCUCCACAAAAGCCCUUUCUCUCUCGAUCUCCCCAUCGCUGUCACUGCCGCCGGCCAAUUCCGGCCAGUGCCGGCGACCUCCGCUACCACUCAGCACACCCACGGCCCCAUCUCACGAUGCUCUACCUCAUCCUCCCCAUCGAUCUGCUUUCCCCUGCCGGACGACGUCGCCCCCAUUGAUUGUACCCGCUACUACUGCCACCGGCGCCCGGCGUCGCCCUGGACGUCGGCGCGUCGCCGACGCCAUUAGGUGAUCCUCCUCGACGUCCUCACCGCCAACUCCUUGCGGCUGCGCCCAUGGUGGAUUCGGCUCCUCCUCGUCGUUGCCCUGCCUAGGGUUCGCGGUUGCGGUGGUGCUGUGGCUGUCCACGGCGGCGCUACGGUUGCCCCACGCAACCCCGACGACCGCUGACUCUCUGCAUCGGCUUCAACCCUUCCAUGGAAUAUACCAAGUGCAAGUGUGUGCUUGUGUUCUACAUAAAAGCAGAUCUUUAGUAUCUGUGCAACAGAUGGCCUAUUUCUUUCUACUGGUUAUGGACAAUAUCUUCUCUUUCCCCAAGUUCCCUCUCCUAAAUCUGAUUUGAACAGAUGCUACACUGGUAUCUCCCCAUUCUUUCUUUCUCUACUUCUCUCACUGAUAAGAACAGGUGCUCUUUGAUCUUA
Long non-coding RNA from Triticum aestivum (bread wheat), 696 nucleotides. RefSeq lists it as uncharacterized. Lineage: Eukaryota; Viridiplantae; Streptophyta; Magnoliopsida; Poales; Poaceae. The transcript has 2 exons. The record is from RefSeq and is a predicted model, not a curated record.